RNAcentral lists this ribosomal RNA (910 nucleotides) under uncultured bacterium. RNAcentral's name for it is "bacterial SSU rRNA". It matches the Rfam family "Bacterial small subunit ribosomal RNA", at positions 54 to 965 of the family's 1533-position model. The record is from RNAcentral.
CAUGCAAGUCGAACGAUGAAAGUCGUUUUGAUAUCUUCGGAUUGAUAAACUUCUGGAUUAGUGGCGGACGGGUGAGUAACGCGUGAGCAAUCUGCCUUACACAAAGGGAUAGCCUCGGGAAACCGGGAUUAAUACCAUAUGAUAUCUACGAGCCGCAUGGCCUAUAGAUUAAAGAAUUUCGGUGUAAGAUGAGCUCGCGUCCCAUUAAUUAGUUGGUGAGGGUAACGGCCCACCAAGAUAGCGAUGGGUAGCCGAUCUAAGAGGAUGACCGGCCACAUUGGAACUGAGAAACGGUCCAAACUCCUACGGGAGGCAGCAGUGGGGAAUAUUGCACAAUGGGGGAAACCCUGAUGCAGCGACGCCGCGUGAGCGAUGAAGGCUUUCGAGUCGUAAAGCUCUGUCCUAUGGGAAGAUAAUGACGGUACCAUAGAAGAAAGCCCCGGCUAAUUACGUGCCAGCAGCCGCGGUAAUACGUAAGGGGCGAGCGUUGUCCGGAAUUAUUGGGCGUAAAGAGUGCGUAGGCGGCAAAUUAAGUCAGAUGUGAAAACUAAGGGCUCAACCCAUAGAUUGCAUCUGAAACUGAUAUGCUUGAGUCAAGGAGAGGAAAGUGGAAUUCCUAGUGUAGCGGUGGAAUGCGUAGAUAUUAGGAGGAAUACCGGUGGCGAAGGCGACUUUCUGGACUUGAACUGACGCUGAGGCACGAAAGCGUGGGGGGCAAACAGGAUUAGAUACCCUGGUAGUCCACGCCGUAAACGAUGAGUGCUAGGUGUCUGCUCAUAAGAGUAGGUGCCGUACGUUAACACAUUAAGCACUCCGCCUGGGGAGUACGUACGCAAGUAUGAAACUCAAAGGAAUUGACGGGGACCCGCACAAGCAGCGGAGCAUGUGGUUUAAUUCGAGGCUACGCGAA